This 274-nucleotide ribosomal RNA is filed under the name uncultured bacterium. Its description in RNAcentral is "partial 16S ribosomal RNA". It matches the Rfam family "Bacterial small subunit ribosomal RNA", at positions 523 to 796 of the family's 1533-position model. The record is from RNAcentral.
AUACGGAGGGUGCAAGCGUUAUUCGGAAUCACUGGGCGUAAAGGACGCGUAGGCGGGUUGGCAAGUCAGAUGUGAAAUCCUACAGCUUAACUGUAGAACUGCAUUUGAAACUGCUAAUCUAGAGUAUGGGAGGGGGAGAUGGAAUUAGUGGUGUAGGGGUAAAAUCCGUAGAUAUCACUAGGAAUACCGAAAGCGAAGGCGAUCUCCUGGAACAUAACUGACGCUAAGGCGUGAAAGCGUGGGGAGCAAACAGGAUUAGAUACCCUAGUAGUCC